UACAGAGGUCUCAAGCGUUGUUCGGAUUCAUUGGGCGUAAAGGGUGCGUAGGCGGCGCGGUAAGUCGGGUGUGAAAUCUCGGAGCUUAACUUCGAAACUGCAUUCGAUACUGCCGUGCUUGAGGACUGGAGAGGAGACUGGAAUUUACGGUGUAGCGGUGAAAUGCGUAGAUAUCGUAAGGAAGACCAGUGGCGAAGGCGGGUCUCUGGACAGUUCCUGACGCUGAGACACGAAAGCGUGGGUAGCAAACAGG
This 253-nucleotide ribosomal RNA is filed under the name uncultured bacterium. Its description in RNAcentral is "partial 16S ribosomal RNA". It matches the Rfam family "Bacterial small subunit ribosomal RNA", at positions 524 to 776 of the family's 1533-position model. The record is from RNAcentral.